Molecule: ribosomal RNA, 362 nt
Filed under: uncultured bacterium
Lineage: Bacteria
Description: bacterial SSU rRNA
Rfam family: Bacterial small subunit ribosomal RNA
Source: RNAcentral
GACCCCGCACAAGCGGUGGAGCAUGUGGUUUAAUUCGAUGAUACGCGAGGAACCUUACCAGGGUUUAAAUGCAGAACGACAGGGGUGGAAACACCCCUUCUUCGGACGGACUGCAAGGUGCUGCAUGGUUGUCGUCAGCUCGUGCUGUGAAGUGUCGGGUUAAGUCCCAUAACGAGCGCAACCCCAUUUCUAGUUGCCAGCGGUUCGGCCGGGGACUCUAGAGAAACUGCCAGCGUAAGCUGUGAGGAAGUGGGAUGACGUCAAAUCAUCACGGCCCUUACAUCCUGGGCCACACACGUGCUACAAUGGUACAGACAGAGGGCAGCCACCUGGCGACAGGAGCGAAUCCUUAAACUGAUCUC